GUAUUGAUUAUCAUGUUCAAACAUUCAUCACUUGGAAAAUAGACAAAAUGAAUGAAAACUCUAUACUGUCAUCUUCAUUGAAUUUGAGAUCC
This is a small nucleolar RNA of Ochotona curzoniae (black-lipped pika), 92 nucleotides long. RefSeq annotates it as small nucleolar RNA SNORD116. Lineage: Eukaryota; Metazoa; Chordata; Mammalia; Lagomorpha; Ochotonidae. The transcript has a single exon. The record is from RefSeq and is a predicted model, not a curated record.